AGAAUCAACGCUGGCGGCGUGCCUAACACAUGCAAGUCGAACGAGAAAGUGGGAGCAAUCCCACGAGUAAAGUGGCGCACGGGUGAGUAACACGUGACUAACCUACCCUUGAGUGGGGGAUAACCUAGGGAAACCUGGGCGUAAUACCGCAUAAUACCUACGGGUCAAAGGAGCAAUUCGCUUAAGGAGGGGGUCGCGGCAGAUUAGUUAGUUGGCGGGGUAAUGGCCCACCAAGACAGUGAUCUGUA
Molecule: ribosomal RNA, 248 nt
Filed under: uncultured bacterium
Lineage: Bacteria
Description: partial small subunit ribosomal RNA
Rfam family: Bacterial small subunit ribosomal RNA
Source: RNAcentral